This 442-nucleotide ribosomal RNA is filed under the name uncultured bacterium. RNAcentral describes it as "partial 16S ribosomal RNA". It matches the Rfam family "Bacterial small subunit ribosomal RNA", at positions 338 to 795 of the family's 1533-position model. The record is from RNAcentral.
CCUACGGGAGGCAGCAGUGGGGAAUAUUGGGCAAUGGGCGCAAGCCUGACCCAGCAACGCCGCGUGAAGGAAGAAGGCUUUCGGGUUGUAAACUUCUUUUGUCAGGGAAGAGUAGAAGACGGUACCUGACGAAUAAGCCACGGCUCACUACGUGCCAGCAGCCGCGGUAAUACGUAGGUGGUAAGCGUUGUCCGGAUUUACUGGGUGUAAAGGGCGUGUAGCCGGGUUGACAAGUCAGAUGUGAAAUCCUGCGGCUUAACCGCAGAACUGCAUUUGAAACUGUUGAUCUUGAGUACUGGAGAGGCAGACGGGAUUCCGAGUGUAGCGGUGAAAUGCGUAGAUAUUAGGAGGGACACCAGUGGCGGAGGCGGUCUGCUGGACAGCAACUGACGGUGAGGCGCGAAAGCGUGGGGAGCAAACAGGAUUAGAUACCCCAGUAGUC